RNAcentral lists this ribosomal RNA (506 nucleotides) under uncultured bacterium. RNAcentral's name for it is "partial 16S ribosomal RNA". It matches the Rfam family "Bacterial small subunit ribosomal RNA", at positions 28 to 523 of the family's 1533-position model. The record is from RNAcentral.
GAUGAACGCUAGCUACAGGCUCAACACAUGCAAGUCGAGGGGUAACAAGAGAAAAGCUUGCUUUUCUUGUUGACGACCGGCGCACGGGUGAGUAACGCGUAUCCAACCUGCCUAUAACUAGGGAAUAACCUUGCGAAAGUAAGACUAAUACCCUAUGAUUUCCUUUGAUGACAUCAGAUUAGGAAUAAAGAUUUAUCGGUUAUAGAUGGGGAUGCGUCUGAUUAGCUUGUUGGCGGGGUAACGGCCCACCAAGGCAACGAUCAGUAGGGGUUCUGAGGGGAAGGUCCCCCACAUUGGAACUGAGACACGGUCCAAACUCCUACGGGAGGCAGCAGUGAGGAAUAUUGGUCAAUGGGCGGAAGCCUGAACCAGCCAAGUAGCGUGCAGGAUGACGGCCCUAUGGGUUGUAAACUGCUUUUAUACAGGAAUAAAGUUAGCCACGUGUGGUUAUUUGUAGGUACUGUAUGAAUAAGGACCGGCUAAUUCCGUGCCAGCCGCCGCGGUAA